Molecule: ribosomal RNA, 468 nt
Filed under: uncultured bacterium
Lineage: Bacteria
Description: partial 16S ribosomal RNA
Rfam family: Bacterial small subunit ribosomal RNA
Source: RNAcentral
GACGAACGCUGGCGGCGUGCUUAACACAUGCCAGUCGAACGGACAGGCCCUGCGCUUGUUUUUUUCUCGUUUGCCGAACGGGGGAGUAACACGUGUGUAACCUGUCCUUGACUUUGUGAUAACUUCUCGAAACUGGGGCUAAUACCGCGUAGAAUCUCCUGCUGCAUGUUGUUGGUUGGAAAGUUUCGGCGGUGGGGGAUGUACUCGCGGCUUAUGCGCUUGUUUGUGUGGUAGUUACUUACCAAGCUUACGACGGGUAGCCGGCCUGGGAGGGUUAACGGCCACAUUGGGACUGCGAUACGGCGCAGAAUCCUACGGGAGGCAGCAGUGGAGAGUAUUGCACAAUGGGCGGAAGCCUGAUACGGAAACGUCGCGUGCGGGAUGCCGGCCUACGGGUGGUAAACAGCUUUCGAAGGUGACGUAGAGUGAGUGACGGUAACGGGUAAAGAAGCAACGGCUAACUACGUG